This 253-nucleotide ribosomal RNA is filed under the name uncultured bacterium. RNAcentral describes it as "partial 16S ribosomal RNA". It matches the Rfam family "Bacterial small subunit ribosomal RNA", at positions 524 to 776 of the family's 1533-position model. The record is from RNAcentral.
UACAGAGGGUGCUAGCGUUGUUCGGAAUCAUUGGGCGUAAAGGGUGCGUAGGUGGUGAGGUAAGUCGGAUGUGAAAUCUCGGAGCUCAACUCCGAAAUGGCAUUGGAAACUACCUCGCUAGAGGAUCGGAGGGGAGACUGGAAUUCUCGGUGUAGCAGUGAAAUGCGCAGAUAUCAGGAGGAACACCAAUGGCGAAGGCAGCUCGCUGGAACGGAACUGACGCUGAGGCGCGAAAGCGUGGGGAGCGAACAGG